Molecule: transfer-messenger RNA, 292 nt
Filed under: bovine gut metagenome
Rfam family: transfer-messenger RNA
About the family: Bacterial tmRNA, also known as 10Sa RNA or SsrA, is named for its dual tRNA and mRNA-like properties. Its role is to liberate the mRNA from a stalled ribosome.
Source: RNAcentral
ACCAUGCAAAAAGCCGGAAAACUAAAUAUAAACGCUGAAGAUAAUUUAGCAUACGCUGCCUGAUUACAGGCGGCAGUCCGCGCCGGUGUUCCCGUACACGGGUACUGCGGGCUUCGACUUUACGGGGAACUGGGCAGCUUAAGCUUUGCGGCGGUCCAAGAUUUAUGAAGCUACCUAAAGAGCCCCUCCUGCUUACCGGUGCGGGCUUGCGGGAAUCAAAAUAGAUAAGCUAUGAUGGUAGAAAGUUCGGGGGAGGGGUUUUCGGACACGGGUUCGACUCCCGUCUACUCCA